GUGUAGCUCACUUCCUGUGCCUGUGCCUCUGCUGCUGCUUAUGUCUGACUCUCUCUCUCUGUUAAGACUGUUGUCCUCACAGAUAUGGAUUUUUUGAUGGCAGAGCCAACUUAUAAACUUCUUAUUUUUUUAUGCAUGAUACAAGGAACGUACGGAGUGCUUAUACAUUAUAAUGUGACCGCAACUGCUGUGGAGGGACAGAACGUCAGCCUGCAGUGCAUUGUGGGAGAGGGGCAUGACGUCACAAUUAUCCAGCUGGAAUGGAUUAAACAGCAAAAAGAAAAUGAGAAGAUCGAUCAGAAGAUUGUUGUGUUCCAUCCUGGGUACUCAACAAAUUAUAUUAAGUCCGGUUCUCUUCUGGAGACAGUGACCAGUUCAAAAACUUGGAAGCUGCAGGGCUCAAUCCUGACCCUGUAUAAAGUUACAGUGAAUGACGGUGGAAACUAUAUUUGCGAAAUUACAUCUUAUCCUAAUGGCUCAAUUAAAAGAACCACAAAGCUCCAAGUCACAGAGCCUCCAGCAUCAGUGAAGAUGUCAUAUCCAUAUGGAUUCAUAAAAGAGGGAGAUGACGUGAAAAUAACUUGUUCAGCUAGCCCUCCACCACUCCGUUAUAAACUUGCAAGGUCAAAGGACCAGAUAAUUUGGCUGGAAAGCUCAAAAGGAGAGUUCAUUAUAUCACACAUCACCAGAAACGACAGCGAUGUGUACAUCUGUUUACCUGAAUGGGACUCAUUAGUACGAAAUCAGCAAGGUCUCAAUGCCACUAUGGAACUGACUGUGAAUUUUCUUGAUGGCAUUGAGUGUAACACAAGCAGCCCUUUAAACGUCAGUGUUGGUGAGGAUGUGAUGAUUUCUUGUAUCGCAAAAGCAUCACAGUACUUGCAGUUGCAGUAUAAGUGGAUGAGGGGUGGCACAACACUGUCUCUGUCAGAGACUUUGUCUCUGACCUCCGUAACAUCUGACCAGUCAGGAACAUACCAACUGACAGCUGUCUUUUUGAAGACUCAACUCCAGACAGACAUGGAGUUUUCUAUCCAUGUUCUCUCAAAGCAAAGCCAAGGAAUGACAACUCCUUGCCCAGUAAGUACCACCAAACAUCUGAGCAGCUUUACCUCUAAUGGGACCAGCUCAUGGAGCAAUGAUACCACUGUGUCUACAACAGAAUCUGAUCACUUCCUGGCUAGCACAAUAAAACCAAAUGCCACUAUGACAACCCUACAACCCAGACACACCAGUCAUCCCACUGGCAGCUCUUCUGCUCCACCUGUUGGCAAUGCAUCUACAUUACAUGCAAGUACUGUAAAAUCUACAGAUACCUCUACAGACAGUUUGAGCACAACUCCAGAUCCAGCUACCAGAAGAGAAAGAGUCACCACUGUUAUAACACAGAAAAACAUCACCACUGUUACAGCAAAAGCCUCAAAAAGCUCGACAUAUAUCGCUGUCCCGAUUGUGUUGUUGUUACUCGUGUUGAUUGUGCUUCUAUACAGAAGACACCAGAACCAAAAAAAAAUGGAUAUGCCACCUCCAUUCAAACCUCCCCCACCACCAGUGAAAUACACAUCAGUGAGGAACCAUGAUGUCUAUAUGACUGAUAUUCUAGUGUGAACGUAUCAUGUACUUGAGAACCUACAAACCGUGGGCCACAAAUAUGCUGACAUGGAAGAUUCUUCCCUAAAGGCCUCACCCAAAAAUGAAAAUUGUUUCAUCAAUUACUCAUCCUCAUGAAGUUUCGUUCAUCUUCAAAACACAAAUGAAGAUAUUUUUAAGAAAACCUAAGAGAUUUCUGUCUUUCCAUUGACAGUCCACGCAACUAGUAUUUUGAUGCUUCAAAAAGUUCAUAAAGACAUUGUAAAUGUAACCCAUAUGAAUCUCCCAGUUUAAUUCAUGUCUUCUGAAGAGGCAGUCACUUUAUAUGAUGAACAGAUUUAAUUUAAGCUUUUAUAUAAACAUUGUUCAGUACAUAGAGUACAUCAAAUAUAUAAUAUGUUUUUUGAAAGUCUUAUGGAUUUGAAUUUUUAUUUUUGGGUGAAUUAACUAAAGUAUUUUUUACUUAUUUUCUUUGUAUUUCUGAAUUGACUGUACAUAAAAUCUGUUACUCUUAUAAAUAAUUAGUUCGUUCUUUUUUAGAUGAAAAAAAAAUGUGACUGAAUUUUGCUUGUGCUUUACUGACAUUAAAUAUAUUAUCGAAUAUCUUGAGUUUUACUUAGCACACAUACUACUCCUACAUCAUAACUAUGUAAAAUUUUCCCUGAAAUGUGUGAAUUAAAAAAAUAAAAAAAAGUGUGUGAGGGUGGGGUCAAAAACCGAGUAAAUUCCAGAAAUAUGAAAUAUGACUAGGCCUUAGGUAACUUUAGAGUUUAAUAAUGUAUGUGUGUGUGUGUGUGUGUGUGUGUGUGUGCGUGCGUGUGUGUGUGUGUGUGUGUUCAAUAAAUGAGGCUGUCAGUUGCAAUGAUGGCUUUUAAUACUGUUACAAUACAACUGCAAAGAAAAUAAGUGAGCACUAUUCAUAAUCAGAUAGCUUUGAAAUAAAGUCUACAUGCCAACACUGACCUCCUGUUGUGGCUGCAUGUUCUGUUAACAAAGCAAAGGCUAUCAGCUGAUUGUUUCAGGCCCCAUAAAACCUCAGUUUACACCUCAGAUAGUCGAGACAAACCAACUGCCAAAACCACAUCAGACAGUGACCAACAGAGACAGUAUGUAUCCUAAACCUUACAGGUCUAAUCUACAAAUACAAAUUCCAGCUCUGGUCACCAUAUAUUAUAACUUGCAGUAACAGCACAGCUGGUGGUUGUUUAUAUUGUGCUUAGAACAAAGCAGAAUUUAGUUCUGUUCAUGCUGCUUAUACAACAUCCGGCAUUUUAAAAUGAAGUUUACCCCUGAAAACAAGCCUUCAUUCAAUGUGGGAGAAGAUGGAAAUG
RNAcentral lists this long non-coding RNA (2921 nucleotides) under Sinocyclocheilus anshuiensis. Its description in RNAcentral is "lncRNA (ENSSANG00000026300.1)". Lineage: Eukaryota; Metazoa; Chordata; Actinopteri; Cypriniformes; Cyprinidae. The record is from RNAcentral.